CAGUCGCCGCGGGAAGACAGAGGAUGCAAGCGUUAUCCGGAAUGAUUGGGCGUAAAGCGUCUGUAGGUGGCUUUUCAAGUCCGCCGUCAAAUCCCAGGGCUCAACCCUGGACAGGCGGUGGAAUCUACCAAGCUGGAGUACGGUAGGGGCAGAGGGAAUUUCCAGUGGAGCGGUGAAAUGCGUUGAGAUCGAAAAGAACACCAACAGCGAAAGCACUCUGCUGGGACGACACUGACACUAAGAGACGAAAGCUAGGGGAGCAAAUGGGAUUAGAUACCCGCGUAGUCCCUGUCUCUUAUAA
Molecule: ribosomal RNA, 301 nt
Filed under: uncultured bacterium
Lineage: Bacteria
Description: partial 16S ribosomal RNA
Rfam family: Bacterial small subunit ribosomal RNA
Source: RNAcentral